GUGCCAGCAGCCGCGGUAAUACCGGCAGCUCAAGUGAUGGCCACUCUUAUUGGGCCUAAAGCGUCCGUAGCUGGCCGCGCAAGUCCGUCGGGAAAUCCACUGGCUCAACCAGUGGGCGUCCGGCGGAAACUGUGCGGCUUGGGACCGGAAGGCUCGAGAGGUACGUCCGGGGUAGGAGUGAAAUCCCAUAAUCCCGCACGGACCACCGAUGGCGAAAGCACUUCGAGAAAACGGAUCCGACAGUGAGGGACGAAAGCCAGGGUCUCCAACCGGAUUAGAAACCCUUGUAGUCC
This 293-nucleotide ribosomal RNA is filed under the name uncultured bacterium. RNAcentral describes it as "partial 16S ribosomal RNA". It matches the Rfam family "Archaeal small subunit ribosomal RNA", at positions 455 to 747 of the family's 1478-position model. The record is from RNAcentral.